Molecule: long non-coding RNA, 447 nt
Organism: Pleuronectes platessa (European plaice)
Lineage: Eukaryota; Metazoa; Chordata; Actinopteri; Pleuronectiformes; Pleuronectidae
Exons: 3
Source: RefSeq, a predicted model, not a curated record
UUCUCACUGCUUCGGCCCGGAGAGACUGAGAAGGAGAAUCCUGUGGUUGAGGAUACGUGGUCGGACGCAGAUUGUCUUCCUAGUGUUACUGGAACAACAAGGCAGUGAGAUCAUAUCAGUGUUAAACGUUUGAGAGUUGUUUCCACUCAAAGGCUAUUCUGUUCGGCGGAUCAGCCGGCUGAUGUAGGAGGCAUUGGCUGGGGGGGAGCUCUUCGGGCCCCGGUGCUGCUCCUCAAACACCGGCUCUGCUUUGGAGUUUUUCCAGCUCUUCCCGGACAACAGGUUGUCCCAUACUUUCCCAUCUUUACUCGGGGAGCUCCCACCGGUUCUGCCCAGCUCCACCGCCGAGUUUUUCCGGUUCCUCCCGGUCAGGAGAGACCCAACUCCCCCGCCGGUGCUGUCAGAGGAGGAGUUCUUGCGCUGGCUCGUUUUGGAACCGGAGGUUUU